AUACGUAGGGGGCGAGCGUUGUCCGGAAUGAUUGGGCGUAAAGGGCGCGUAGGCGGCGCGGUAAGUCUGGAGUGAAAGUCCUGCUUUCAAGGUGGGAAUUGCUUUGGAUACUGCCGCGCUUGAGUGCAGGAGAGGUUAUCGGAAUUCCCGGUGUAGCGGUGAAAUGCGUAGAGAUCGGGAGGAACACCAGUGGCGAAGGCGGGUAACUGGACUGCAACUGACGCUGAGGCGCGAAAGUGUGGGGAGCAAACAGGAUUAGAUACCCUGGUAGUCCACACUGUAAACGAUGAAUGCUAGGUGUAAGAGGUAUCGACCCCUUUUGUGCCGGAGUCAACGCAAUAAGCAUUCCGCCUGGGGAGUACGGCCGCAAGGUUGAAACUCAAAGGAAUUGACGGGG
This 397-nucleotide ribosomal RNA is filed under the name uncultured bacterium. RNAcentral describes it as "partial 16S ribosomal RNA". It matches the Rfam family "Bacterial small subunit ribosomal RNA", at positions 523 to 918 of the family's 1533-position model. The record is from RNAcentral.